This 379-nucleotide ribosomal RNA is filed under the name uncultured Alphaproteobacteria bacterium. RNAcentral describes it as "bacterial SSU rRNA". It matches the Rfam family "Bacterial small subunit ribosomal RNA", at positions 9 to 416 of the family's 1533-position model. The record is from RNAcentral. Lineage: Bacteria; Pseudomonadati; Pseudomonadota; Alphaproteobacteria.
GAGUUUGAUCUUGGCUCAGAGCGAACGCUGGCGGCAGGCCUAAACAUGCAAGUCGAACGAUGGCUUCGGCCAUAGUGGCGCACGGGUGAGUAACGCGUGGGAACCUGCCUUUUGGUUUGGGAUAACUCCGGGAAACUGGAGCUAAUACCGGAUGAGCCCGGGCAACCGGGAAGAUUUAUCGCCAAAGAGGGGCCCGCGUCCGAUUAGGUAGUUGGUGGGGUAACGGCCUACCAAGCCGACGAUCGGUAGCUGGUCUGAGAGGAUGAUCAGCCACACUGGGACUGAGACACGGCCCAGACUCCUACGGGAGGCAGCAGUGGGGAAUAUUGGACAAUGGGCGCAAGCCUGAUCCAGCAAUGCCGCGUGGAUGAUGAAGGCC